This 1032-nucleotide ribosomal RNA is filed under the name Amolops daiyunensis (Daiyun torrent frog). RNAcentral describes it as "partial large subunit ribosomal RNA". It matches the Rfam family "Bacterial large subunit ribosomal RNA", at positions 932 to 2604 of the family's 2925-position model. The record is from RNAcentral. Lineage: Eukaryota; Metazoa; Chordata; Amphibia; Anura; Ranidae.
AGCUCUACCUUAGUUUACCCAUAACAUCAAAUUAUAUAUAAGACUUAAGAGCUAUUCAAAUAAGGCACAGCUUAUUUGAAACAGAACACAACCUCCAAUACUGGGUUAAUAUAGGUUAUUAUAACCAAGUGGGCCUAAAAGCAGCCACCUUAUAGAAAGCGUUAAAGCUCAACUAUACAUUUACCUUAAAUUUCAAAAUCUAUCUUCAACCCUUAAUUACUACUGAACUAUUUUAUAUUCUUAUAAAAAAAAUUAUGCUAGAACUAGUAACAAGAAUUAGCCCUUCUCCAAAAUGUAAGCUUAAGCCAAAAUGGACAUCCCAUCGGCAAUUAACGCAAAUGUAAUUAUUAUAGCAACAUAUACUAGCAAACCCUAUAACUACUAGCGUCGACCUAACACCAGAACAUUUCAGGAAAGAUUAAAAGAGAAAGAAGGAACUCGGCAAAUCUCAGCCCCGCCUGUUUACCAAAAACAUCGCCUCUUGCUUAAACAUAAGAGGUCCAGCCUGCCCAGUGAUAUAAUUCAACGGCCGCGGUACCCUAACCGUGCGAAGGUAGCAUAAUCACUUGUUCUUUAAAUAAGGACUUGUAUCAACGGCAUCACGAGGACUGUACUGUCUCCUUUCUCCAAUCAGUGAAACUGAUCUCCCCGUGAAGAAGCGGGGAUUAACCUAUAAGACGAGAAGACCCCAUGGAGCUUAAAGCCCACACAACUCUAUGCACUUAAAUCAAUACAGCCCAAGAAACCUGCAAACGGCUUUAGGUUGGGGGGACCGCGGAGUAAAAACUAACCUCCACGACAAACGGGCCUACGCCCUUAUCCAAGAAUGACAAUUCUAAGAAUCAAUAAACUGAUGUUUAAUGACCCGAUUAUUCGAUCAACGAACCAAGUUACCCUGGGGAUAACAGCGCAAUCUACUUCAAGAGCCCCUAUCAACAAGUAGGUUUACGACCUCGAUGUUGGAUCAGGGUAUCCUAGUGGUGCAGCCGCUACUAAAGGUUCGUUUGUUCAACGAUUAAAACCCUACGUGAU